GCCAAACAAUGGAAAUCAAUCUCAAUGAGUGAGAUGAAAUGUGUAUUGUGUCGUGAUUCUCUCCUCUCAUUUCAAAUCAUAAUCCUUCAUGAUUUUGAAUUUGUAGAAACACAGGAAAGCUGUUAAUAUGCUAAUGUUAUCAAAACCAAUAUGUAUGGUGUUGGAUCUGGAGGAGCAGAUGCCUUGCUCUGUCCUUCGUUCACUUGGACCACUUC
RNAcentral lists this long non-coding RNA (215 nucleotides) under Lotus japonicus. RNAcentral's name for it is "long non-coding RNA (LJAP_LNC000911)". Lineage: Eukaryota; Viridiplantae; Streptophyta; Magnoliopsida; Fabales; Fabaceae. The record is from RNAcentral.